AGCAUCCUCGUGGUGUUUCCAGUGGCGGACGGGUGAGUAACGCGUAAGAACUUGGCCCUUGGAGGGGGACAACAACUGGAAACGGCUGCUAAUACCCCGUAAGCUGAGGAGCAAAAGGAGGGAUCGCCAAGGAGGGGCUUGCGUCUGAUUAGCUGGUUGGUGAGGCAAUGGCUUACCAAGGCGACGAUCAGUAGCUGGUCUGAGAGGAUGAUCAGCCACACUGGGACUGAGACACGGCCCAA
Molecule: ribosomal RNA, 242 nt
Filed under: uncultured bacterium
Lineage: Bacteria
Description: partial 16S ribosomal RNA
Rfam family: Bacterial small subunit ribosomal RNA
Source: RNAcentral